RNAcentral lists this ribosomal RNA (434 nucleotides) under uncultured Clostridium sp. Its description in RNAcentral is "partial 16S ribosomal RNA". It matches the Rfam family "Bacterial small subunit ribosomal RNA", at positions 341 to 792 of the family's 1533-position model. Lineage: Bacteria; Bacillati; Bacillota; Clostridia; Eubacteriales; Clostridiaceae. The record is from RNAcentral.
ACGGAAGGCAGCAGUAGGGAAUAUUGGUCAAUGGGGGAAACCCUGAACCAGCGACGCCGCGUGAGUGAAGAAGUAUUUCGGUAUGUAAAGCUCUAUCAGCAGGGACGGUAAUGACGGUACCUGACUAAGAAGCCCCGGCUAACUACGUGCCAGCAGCCGCGGUAGUACGUAGGGGGCAAGCGUUAUCCGGAUUUACUGGGUGUAAAGGGAGCGUAGGUGGCCAUGCAAGUCAGAUGUGAAAUCCCGGGGCUCAACCCCGGAGCUGCAUUUGAAACUGCGUAGCUAGAGUGCAGGAGAGGUAAGCGGAAUUCCUAGCGUAGCGGUGAAAUGCGUAGAUAUUAGGAGGAACACCAGUGGCGAAAGCGGCUUGCUGGACUGCAACUGACACUGAGGCUCGAAAGCGUGGGGAGCAAACAGGAUUAGAUACCCUGGUA